Pelobates cultripes (western spadefoot toad) is the source of this 373-nucleotide non-coding RNA. The record is from the annotation of a GenBank genome assembly. NCBI's taxonomy places the organism in Eukaryota, Metazoa, Chordata, Amphibia, Anura, Pelobatidae.
AAGUGAAUUUAAAAUUUAAGGUAAAAAUCCUGUAAAUCAGCUUUUCUUUCUGUUCGGCUACUCUGACCUUAAAAGGACUCUAAAUUAAGUGGUUUGAGUGCCAUGUCCCUGACCACUUGCAGCUGAAAACAUUGUUAUUCUGCAGGUACUACAUUCCAUACUGACGGCCACUAGAGGCACUCCUGCUAAAUAGCAGAGUAAAACUCCACUAUUUCUAUCUGAUUGUUUUAGAAAAACCAUCUAAUUAGCACAGUGCACUAGUCUCCCAAUGCUUUCCUAUGGGAAAGCAUUAACUUGGCUGAGAUCAUUGAUCUUGAUGAUAUCAGCCAACCCUCACACGGCAGGGGAGAUUGUAAUACAGUAAAAUAAAACC